This 1154-nucleotide long non-coding RNA is filed under the name Homo sapiens (human). RNAcentral's name for it is "HSALNT0341385". The record is from RNAcentral. Lineage: Eukaryota; Metazoa; Chordata; Mammalia; Primates; Hominidae.
CCUGUAGGUGGCCAACGCCGGGCGCUGGGCCGCCGCUCCUGCCUUGCACGUUAGAGAGCCGGUACAUGCAGGUGGGAAGCUCCACACGGAGAGGCGCGCCGCGCCCGUGAUAAGGUUUUACCUGGUACAUCGGCAUGGCGGAACCAAAGCAAGAGAGGGUGGCGCGUGCCAAACACCAACGCUCAGAAACCGUCCGAGGCUACGACUGGGGGCGGACAUCUCCCUUGUGACCCUGCUGCGGUCGUUCGGGAAAAAAAAAAAAAGCAGUCCGGUGUGCUCUGAUUGGCCCAUGCUCUUUGACGUCACGGACUCGACCUUUGACGGAGCUAAUAGGCGAAAAGGAGAGACGGGAAGUAUUUUUUCCGCCCCGCCCAGAAAGGGUGGAGCACAACGUCAAAAGCAGCCAAUGGGAGCCCAGGAGGCGGGGCGCCUGUGGGAGUCGUGGAGGGAACUUUCCCAGGCCCCGAGGCGGAUCGGGUAUUGAGUCCAUGGAGCGAGCUGAGAGCUAGAGUACAGAACCUGCUAAGGCCAUCAAACCUAUCGAUCGGAAGUCAGUCCAUCAGAUUUGCUCUGGGCCGGUGGUACUGAGUCUAAGCACUGCGGUGAAGGAGUUAGUAGAAAACAGUCUGGAUGCUGGUGCCACCAAUAUUGAUCUAAAGCUUAAGGACUAUGGAGUGGAUCUCAUUGAAGUUUCAGACAAUGGAUGUGGGGUAGAAGAAGAAAACUUUGAAGGCUUAACGAUGUCACCAUUUCUACCUGCCACGCAUCGGCGAAGGUUGGGACUCGACUGGUGUUUGAUCACGAUGGGAAAAUCAUCCAGAAAACCCCCUACCCCCACCCCAGAGGGACCACAGUCAGCGUGAAGCAGUUAUUUUCUACACUACCUGUGCACCAUAAGGAAUUUCAAAGGAAUAUUAAGAAGACGUGCCUGUUUCCCCUUCGCCUUCUGCCGUGAUUGUCAGUUUCCUGAGGCCUCCCCAGCCAUGCUUCCUGUACAGCCUGCAGAACUAUAGGGGUCUCACUGUCACCCACGCUGGAGUGCAGUGGCGCAAUCUCGGCUCACUACAACCUCUGCCUCCCAGGCUCAAGUGAUUCUCCCACCUUAGCCUCCUGAGUAGCUGGGACCACAGGCCUGAGAAGACUCACCAGCAAGA